UGUUUAGGGUUGUUUAAGGUCAGGGCCGGGACCCUGGGUUGGGGUUUUAGGCUCAGGGCCAGGGCCCAGUGUUAGGGUAUUAGUGUCAGGGCCCAGGGUUAGGGUUUUAGGGUCAGAGCCCAGGGUUAGGGUUUUAGGGUCAGGGCCCAGGUUUAGGGUGAUUUCCAGGAAGUGACAUCACAAUGACUCAAGCUACCACUUACUGUUGAUUGUGACAAAAUGCCAGCUGAGGCACAUGCCUUGGGAGCUAAGUGGUUGCUGCCCUUGACUACUAUGAAGACUGGUGUGGGAAGGGUCGCUUUGGAUGCACUUGAGCUGGGGUCCCCAACCCCUUAGCCAUGGAGCCGUAAGGAGCCACACAGCAGGUGGGACCAUCCAGUUUCAGGAAAACAAGCUUAACACGCCCACUGAUUCUACAUUAUGCUCCUACCUCCCGGCAGCCUGGCCAGGCCCAGAACUCUCUCCAGUCAGCCUCUACAGACCAAGCUCAUGACUCACAAUGGCCUAUUGAGGCCCAUACCCUACCUCACGGCAGUCUCCGCAGAUGAGCCUACUGCCUCACAACAGCCUCCACAGGCACAGCUCCGUCGUUACAAUGGCCUCUUUAGACCCAGCUCCUGCCUCCCAGCCUUCUCUCCAGGCCCUGAACUUUCUCCGUAAGUUGAGGUAGCUGGGACUGUAGGUAUACAUGAUGAUACUUGGCUAAUUUUUAAAUUGUUUUGCAGACAUGGGGUCUCACUUUGUUGGCCAGGCUGGUGUCAAACUAAUGGCCUCAAGUGACCCUUCCACCCCUGCCUCCCAUCUUCGAGGUAUGUGCCACCACAAGGAGCACUUGUUCAAUUUUCUAAAGAAAAAAUUUCUAAAGUAAGGCUGUGGGAUGAUGGCAGGAAGAUAAAAGAAAAACAGAAGAAUAAGUUAGAAUGACUUAUUCACACAUAUUUUUUGACAGCAAGAAGAACUGUUAGUAUAUACAUUCCUUACAAACAAACAAACGGCAGAUAAACAAUGUUGUAUAGGAACUUCAACACACACUGUACAAUAUUCCCACUUUGCUGACAUAAGUUAUGGAAAUUUCGUGGUUUCCUUGAGUGUCGCUACCAGUAUUUUGCUCUUCUGACGAUUUUUAUCAACUUCCUCAUCUGUUAACUUCUCUCCAAAGUAUGUCAUGACACGACAUACUGCCGCUGCACGAACACGGCCAGUGUCUUCCUAUUAAACAUGUAGAAUGCUUUCCUAAUUUCUCCUUUUACUCUCUGUCUUUGUGUUCUGCAUUUUCCUUACUUUUAUUGUCAGAAACUCCAGAAAGUCAAUCGUACUAAUUUAUCACGAUUUGCUUUAUUAAUUUAUACUAUGCUUAUAUGGAAUUUUGCCCAACAGACCUCAUUACAAUUUGGGCCAGGGCCCAGGGUUAGGGUUGUUUCAGGGUCAGGGCCAGGGCCCAGGGUUAGG
Long non-coding RNA from Gorilla gorilla gorilla (western lowland gorilla), 1449 nucleotides. RefSeq lists it as uncharacterized. Lineage: Eukaryota; Metazoa; Chordata; Mammalia; Primates; Hominidae. The record is from RefSeq and is a predicted model, not a curated record. The transcript is spliced from 3 exons.